RNAcentral lists this ribosomal RNA (425 nucleotides) under uncultured bacterium. RNAcentral describes it as "bacterial SSU rRNA". It matches the Rfam family "Bacterial small subunit ribosomal RNA", at positions 354 to 796 of the family's 1533-position model. The record is from RNAcentral.
GUGGGGAAUUUUGCGCAAUGGGGGAAACCCUGACGCAGCGACGCCGCGUGAAGGAUGAAGGCCUUCGGGUUGUAAACUUCUUUUAUAAGGGAAGAUAGUGACGGUACCUUAUGAAUAAGCCACGGCUAACUCUGUGCCAGCAGCCGCGGUAAGACAGAGGUGGCAAGCGUUGUUCGGAAUUACUGGGCUUAAAGGGCAUGUAGGCGGCAAGGCAAGUCCGUGGUGGAAUCUCAGGGCUUAACCCUGAAAUUGCCUCGGAAACUGCUUAGCUUGAGUCAGUGAGGGGAGGGCGGAAUUCCUGGUGUAGCAGUGAUAUGCGUAGAUAUCAGGAGGAAGGCCUGUGGUGAAGACGGCCCUCUGGCGCUGUACUGACGCUGAGGUGCGAAAGCGUGGGGAGCAAACAGGAUUAGAAACCCUGGUAGUCC